Mirounga angustirostris (Northern elephant seal) is the source of this 3376-nucleotide long non-coding RNA. RefSeq lists it as uncharacterized. NCBI's taxonomy places the organism in Eukaryota, Metazoa, Chordata, Mammalia, Carnivora, Phocidae. The transcript has 4 exons. The record is from RefSeq and is a predicted model, not a curated record.
UAUUUAAGACUCCCAUUUGGCAGACUGGAGCUAGGAAGUCUCCUUUCUGGCUUAAAGAAAUAAGUGGCCACGUUGGAGAAGCCAUGUGUCAAGGAACUUCAGAUGACCUCUUGCACCUGAGGGCAGCCCCCAGCCAACAGCCAGGAAGAAGCUGGGAUCCUCAGUCCUGGUGCUGCAAGAAAAUGAAUUCUUCCAACAAACUAAGGGAGCUUGGAAGCAGAUUCUUCUCCAGUCGAGCCUCCAGAUGAAAACACAGUGUAACUGAUGCCUUGACUGCAGCCUGGUGAGACCCUGAGCAGAGGACCUGGCUAAGCUGUGCCUAGACUCCUGACCCAUAGAAACUAUGGACAAUAGUGUGUAUUGUUUUAAGCCAUUAAGUUUGUGGCAAUUUGUUACUGGAAAUGGAAAGUUAAUAUAGAUAUAUUGUCCUUACACUACACGCGAGGAAAGUGAAAUCUAGAAGUUCCAUCACUUGCUCAAGGUCUCACUACUGGAAAGUGGUAAGAAAACGGGAUGCAGAUUGAAGAAAAUGGAGGCUGUUCAAUAUUGCCUUGUCAUCAGCAGAUGAACCAAGACCGAAUUCAUGUCUCUUCACCGCCAGACCUCUGACUACAUUAAAACCCUGCUGGAAUCAAUGUCACGUUCUGAUGCCUGAUCCACACCCUUGCAACACUCUGCUUGGCCCCCUACAUUCCAACAGAGGUGUUUGUUGCUGUGCCUUCCAGACACUGCAUCUGGCCAGUGGGACCUCCUCAAGGGAAAACAGUUGAUCCUGCAAUGGUGUGUGUCUACUUCUUCCCAACCUGUCCCUCCCUACUCUAGUUUACAUCCUGAAGUAGGCAGCUUCCAAGAUGGCCCCCAAUGAUUCUCACCUCCUGGCGUUCAUGCUUGUGUAUACACUGAGUAGAGUUGAGCCGUGUAACCAAGAGGAUGUCGCAGAAAGGAUGGAUCAUGACUUUGGAGGACAGGUCAUAAAAGAUACGUGGUUUCUGCCUCAUUGUCUCUUGGGUUCUUAGCUCUGAGAGAAGCCAGCUGCCAUGUAAUGAGGACACUCAAGCAUCCCUAGGAAGGAGCCGAGGCCUCCUGCCAAGAGCCAGCUUCAGUUUUCAACAUGUGAGUGAGCCAUUUGGGAAGAUCUUUUCUCCAUUCAAGCGUUCAGAUGGCUGCAGAUCUGGCAAACAUCUUGGUUACAACUUCAUAAGAGACCUUGAGGCAGAACCAGUCAAGCUUCCCCUGAAUUCCUACUCUAUAGAAGCUUGAGACCACUCAACCAACCAUGAAAGCCCCGUCUUAACAGGAUGACAAAAGUUGAAAAUACAUAUGAAAACCUGACUAAAAGUGUGAAAAUAUGGUAAUUAAGGCCAGCAUGUGCACAUGUGUGUGCACACACACACACACAAAACAACAAGUGUCUCCCUCAUUUCCCAUGGUUCCUAGCUGAAACAAACCGCUGACCCAUUUAAGCAUAAUACAGAUGAGAAGAAAAAAAAAGGUAAGGGGGACCUAGGGGGUUCAGUCAGUUAUGCAUCUGACUUCAGCUCAGGUCAUGAUCCCAGAGUCCUGGGAUGGAGGCCCACAUGGACACCCGCAUGAGGCCUGCCUUGGGCUCAGCAGGGAGUCUGCUUCUCCCUCUGCUCCCUCCCAGCCUCCCCCCUCAUGGUUGCUCAAACUCUCUCUGAAAUGAAUAAAUAAAAUCUUAAGAAAAAAGGAACAAGGUAAAAUUUUGCUCUAAAGGAAACUAAGUAAAACACAGUAUCCAUGUUUGGCUUUUUGGGUGGAGUGCUAAUUCUACAUCCCAAGAAAAUCCACUGGUCAACGUAGAAAAAAGAGUGGUAGGAGGAUGUAAAAUAGAUAUACUAAUAAAGGGGCAGCUUUCUUGAGACAGAUGUUUUUCAGCCUAGGAAGAUAAAGGUUGAGAGGAAAUAUAAUAUCAGUCUUCAAUAUCCUACAGGCCAUGGAAAAGCUAAAGAGGAAUUGUUCAUCUGAUGUCAGGGUGAAUGCUUAGGUCUUUAGCAAUAUGGCCUUUGUGGCAGUCUCGUCUAUAUUUGGAUUAUAAAAAAAAUUAUCCACACCAGGAACUAAACAUAUUUUUUUAAUCGUACAGAAGUGGCAUGUAAAGCUUAUAAACAGCACAGGCUUUGGGGAAGCUGGCCUGUAAAGGUAAUAGCCCCUCCUCACCUUAACGAGCCCCAGGGUUGGUGUGUCUGAGCAUUCGAAAGGUCUUGCAGUCCCCUCAUCCAAAUCAGCCGUCUAACGAGCGCUCUCACCUUCUCUCACACCCUUCCCAAUCCAUUCUCCACAAGGCAGCCAGCAUGCUCAUUUUCAAAUAUAAAACCCAUCAUCUCUCCUUCGCUAUGCCCUUCGGGGUCCUCUCACUGUCCUUGUGGGGCAGUACAGCCUCCUCACGGUGACUGCUCAGGCUCCGCAGGCCUGGUCACCCCCCGCCUUCUUUCUCUUCUGCAAUACCCCAGCCCCUUCCUAUCUCGGGCUUUGGCAGCCGCGGCAUAUCCCAUGGCUGACGUACUGUCCUCAUUCGGGUUUUGAGUCUAACUCCCACAUCCCAGAAAGGCUUUUCCCGACAAUCCCUUUGAGCACGUGGUUGCUUUCCUUUGUAGCAUUUAUCAUUAUCGGAAAAUAAUUUUUUUUCUUGCUUGUUUAUUGUCUGUUCGUAUCACCAUGCCCUAAGUUUCAAAUGUCUUGCUCGCCCUUGUACUCCCAACACCUAGCACUGUGAUUGACAUUUGUCAUCCUCCUCCUCCUUAUUAGAAUAGUGAAUGAGGCAAAAUAGACAAGUGAAGAGCUGGCUAUUUCAGGGCAAAUUUCCAUAAUCAACACCAUUUCACACACUCUUCCCUCCUUCUUUUCCCUCCUCCCUCUGUCCUUCCCCCAACCCUCCACCUGCUCUUUCCAUGUCUCUGUGGCUUGCAAUAGGUAAAAAGUCUCAGCUUUUUACUUUGCUGCUCCCGGAAAGUGCAAAGCAACUAUACUCUGCUUUUAGCUUCUGACUGAAAGAUUUCAUGACCUGAACUGGGGGCUCCCUACCUGCCUGAGUUUGUCUAACAGUAGAGGGAACAUGCGUUUCCUGUUUGGGGAAAGACUUUUGCACAUAUUUAGCUCAGUGGUGUUUUUCUGUUGAGGUGUAAUCCUAAUGUGUGGCAGAAAGUGUUGAGUGAGUGAAGGAAAGUGCCAUGCGAGGUAGCACUAUUAAUAGCAAUCUGGAAAACGGACACCUGCAGGAGAGUCAGCCUCACGUCCAACCAUAGAACUUAACGUUUGUGCCAGCUACGAAGUAGCAGAGCUUUCCGGGACCAUCGCCCUGGAAACAGCAUCUACUGAAAUGUCCUCCUUUUUCAUUUUUGUCAUCCUGCCUGUUAAC